This 198-nucleotide ribosomal RNA is filed under the name uncultured bacterium. Its description in RNAcentral is "partial 16S ribosomal RNA". It matches the Rfam family "Bacterial small subunit ribosomal RNA", at positions 1305 to 1500 of the family's 1533-position model. The record is from RNAcentral.
CUGCAACUCGACUACAUGAAGCUGGAAUCGCUAGUAAUCGCGAAUCAGAAUGUCGCGGUGAAUACGUUCCCGGGUCUUGUACACACCGCCCGUCACACCAUGGGAGUCAGUAACGCCCGAAGCCGGUGACCCAACCAAUUCAGGAGGGAGCCGUCGAAGGUGGGACCGAUAACUGGGGUGAAGUCGUAACAAGGUAUC